RNAcentral lists this ribosomal RNA (677 nucleotides) under Spinidrupa infans. RNAcentral's name for it is "partial 16S ribosomal RNA". The stretch from base 1 to 509 matches the Rfam family "Bacterial large subunit ribosomal RNA", at positions 1944 to 2925 of the family's 2925-position model. The record is from RNAcentral. Lineage: Eukaryota; Metazoa; Mollusca; Gastropoda; Neogastropoda; Muricidae.
GACCGUGCAAAGGUAGCAUAAUCAUUUGCCUUAUAAUUGAAGGCUUGUAUGAAUGGUUUGACAAGAAUAAUUCUGUCUCUUUACAAUUAAAUAUAACUUUAUUUACAGGUGAAGAAGCCUGUAUCGGAUUGAAAGACAAGAAGACCCUAUCGAGCUUGAAAACAAUUAAUGAGCCCAAAUCAUAUUAAUACCGAAUAGUUUGUUAAAAAUUUUAGUUGGGGCGACAGAGGAACAAACAAAGCUUCCUUAUAUUGAGAAAACAUACAAGUGACGAUCCAAGUAUUUUGAUUAAAGGAAUUAGUUACCGUAGGGAUAACAGCAUUAUCUUUUUUAAGAGUUCAAAUCGAAAAAAAGGUUUGUGACCUCGAUGUUGGACCAGAAUGUCCUAAAGAUGCAGCCGUCUUUAAGGGUUGGUCUGUUCGACCAUUAAAAUUCUACGUGAUCUGAGUUCAGACCGGCGUGAGCCAGGUCAGUUUCUAUCUUCAGUUUAUUUGUGUGGGCUUAGUACGAAAGGAUCAGCCUAUAAUAAUAGUUAUUAUGCUUGAUACAGUAUAAAGAAAGUUUAAUAAGUAAAAACUUCUUAUAAAUCAAAUUAGCAAAGAUAAUGCAAUUGACUUAGGAUCAAUAGACAUAGGUGAAACUCCUUUAUUUGAUACACUAUAAAGAUGGCAGAUAAA